This 515-nucleotide ribosomal RNA is filed under the name Clonostachys pseudochroleuca. RNAcentral describes it as "eukaryotic LSU rRNA". The stretch from base 132 to 285 matches the Rfam family "5.8S ribosomal RNA". Lineage: Eukaryota; Fungi; Ascomycota; Sordariomycetes; Hypocreales; Bionectriaceae. The record is from RNAcentral.
UGAACAUACCUACUGUUGCUUCGGCGGGAUUGCCCCGGGCGCCUCGUGUGCCCCGGAUCAGGCGCCCGCCUAGGAAACUUAACUCUUGUUUUAUUUUGGAAUCUUCUGAGUAGUUUUUACAAAUAAAUAAAAACUUUCAACAACGGAUCUCUUGGUUCUGGCAUCGAUGAAGAACGCAGCGAAAUGCGAUAAGUAAUGUGAAUUGCAGAAUUCAGUGAAUCAUCGAAUCUUUGAACGCACAUUGCGCCCGCCAGUAUUCUGGCGGGCAUGCCUGUCUGAGCGUCAUUUCAACCCUCAUGCCCCUAGGGCGUGGUGUUGGGGAUCGGCCAAAGCCCGCGAGGGACGGCCGGCCCCUAAAUCUAGUGGCGGACCCGUCGUGGCCUCCUCUGCGAAGUAGUGAUAUUCCGCAUCGGAGAGCGAUGAGCCCCUGCCGUUAAACCCCCAACUUUCCAAGGUUGACCUCAGAUCAGGUAGGAAUACCCGCUGAACUUAAGCAUAUCAAUAAGCGGAGGAAC